Molecule: ribosomal RNA, 254 nt
Filed under: uncultured bacterium
Lineage: Bacteria
Description: partial 16S ribosomal RNA
Rfam family: Bacterial small subunit ribosomal RNA
Source: RNAcentral
CACGUAGGGGCCAAGCGUUGUCCGGAUUUAUUGGGCGUAAAGAGCUCGUAGGCGGUUGGGUAAGUCGGGUGUGAAAACUCCAGGCUCAACUUGGAGACGCCAUCCGAUACUGCUCUGACUUGAGUUCGGUAGGGGAGUGGGGAAUUCCUGGUGUAGCGGUGAAAUGCGCAGAUAUCAGGAGGAACACCGGUGGCGAAGGCGCCACUCUGGGCCGAAACUGACGCUGAGGAGCGAAAGCGUGGGUAGCAAACAGG